This 499-nucleotide ribosomal RNA is filed under the name uncultured bacterium. RNAcentral's name for it is "partial 16S ribosomal RNA". It matches the Rfam family "Bacterial small subunit ribosomal RNA", at positions 30 to 523 of the family's 1533-position model. The record is from RNAcentral.
AUUGAACGCUGGCGGCAGGCCUAACACAUGCAAGUCGAGCGGAUGACGGGAGCUUGCUCCUGGAUUCAGCGGCGGACGGGUGAGUAAUGCCUAGGAAUCUGCCUGGUAGUGGGGACAACGUUUCGAAAGGAACGCUAAUACCGCAUACGUCCUACGGGAGAAAGCAGGGGACCUUCGGGCCUUGCGCUAUCAGAUGAGCCUAGGUCGGAUUAGCUAGUUGGUGAGGUAAUGGCUCACCAAGGCGACGAUCCGUAACUGGUCUGAGAGGAUGAUCAGUCACACUGGAACUGAGACACGGUCCAGACUCCUACGGGAGGCAGCAGUGGGGAAUAUUGGACAAUGGGCGAAAGCCUGAUUCAGCCAUGCCGCGUGUGUGAAGAAGGUCUUCGGAUUGUAAAGCACUUUAAGUUGGGAGGAAGGGUUGUAGAUUAAUACUCUGCAAUUUUGACGUUACCGACAGAAUAAGCACCGGCUAACUCUGUGCCAGCCGCCGCCGUAA